UGAAUACGAGACGCUAAGGCGUCGAAGUAGUGUAUGUCAUACUUCCAAGAAAAGCUUGCACUGUCAUAGAUAAAAAACGCCUGUACCAUAACCGACACAGGUGGGUAGGUAGAGUAUACUAAGGGGCGCGAGAUAACUCUCUCUAAGGAACUCGGCAAAAUAACUCCGUAACUUCGGGAGAAGGAGUGCCUUAUUCGUAAGGUUGCAAUAACAAGAUCCAAGCAACUGUUUAUCAAAAACACAGGUCUCCGCUAAGUCGUAAGACGAUGUAUGGGGGCUGACGCCUGCCCAGUGCCAGAAGGUUAAAGAAGUUGGUUAGCAAUUGCGAAGCUGAUAACUGAAGCCCUGGUGAACGGCGGCCGUAACGAUAACGGUCCUAAGGUAGCGAAAUUCCUUGUCGGGUAAGUUCCGACCCGCACGAAAGGCGUAAUGAUUUGGAUACUGUCUCGGAGAGGGGCUCGGUGAAAUAGACUUGUCUGUGAAGAUGCGGACUACCUGCACCAGGACAGAAAGACCCUAUGAAGCUUUACUGUAACUUGAAAUUGAAAUUGGACUUUAUUCGCGCAGUAUAGGUGGGAGGCGUUGAUUAUAAUCUUGUGGGAUUAUUGGAGCCAUCAGUGAGAUACCACUCUUGUAAUGUUAGAUUUCUAACUUUGAAUCAUUAUCUGGUCAAAGAACAGUUUCAGGCGGGCAGUUUGACUGGGGCGGUCGCCUCCUAAACGGUAACGGAGGCGUACAAAGGUUUCCUCUGAACGGUUAGAAAUCGUAUCUAGAGUGUAAAGGCAUAAGGAAGCUUGACUGUGAGACCUACAAGUCGAGCAGGGACGAAAGUCGGUCUUAGUGAUCUGACGGUACUGAGUGGAAAGGCCGUCACCCAACGGAUAAAAGUUACUCUAGGAUAACAGGCUGAUCUCCCCCAAGAGUUCACAUCGACGGGGAGGUUUGGCACCUCGAUGUCGGCUCAUCGCAUCCUGGGGCGGUAGUACGUCCCAAGGGUUGGGCUGUUCGCCCAUGAAAGCGGUACGCGAGCUGGGUUCAGAACGUCGUGAGACAGUUCGGUCCAUAUCCGGUGUAGGCGUUAGAAUAUUGAGAGGAGCCUUCUUUAGUACGAGAGGACCGAGAAGGACAUACCUCUGGUGUACCAGUUAUCGUGCCAACGGUAAACGCUGGGUAGCUAUGUAUGGAGUGGAUAACCGCUGAAAGCAUCUAAGUGGGAAGCCCACCUCAAGAUAAGUAUUCUC
RNAcentral lists this ribosomal RNA (1241 nucleotides) under metagenome. RNAcentral describes it as "bacterial LSU rRNA". It matches the Rfam family "Bacterial large subunit ribosomal RNA", at positions 1564 to 2815 of the family's 2925-position model. The record is from RNAcentral.